RNAcentral lists this long non-coding RNA (2791 nucleotides) under Citrus x clementina. RNAcentral describes it as "Citrus clementina (C. clementina) long non-coding RNA (CCLE_LNC000786)". Lineage: Eukaryota; Viridiplantae; Streptophyta; Magnoliopsida; Sapindales; Rutaceae. The record is from RNAcentral.
UGUCAAAAUUUAUAUAAAACUUUGUCCAAUCUCGUAUCAAACUAAAUGCAAGAUAGCAAUAUUGUAAUUUAAUUGGUAUUUUAAGUAAAUAGAUAUGGAGAGUAUUUUAGCAAGUUAAAAUAAUCCAUCCAUAUUUUUAAUACUUAAUUAAGUUCAUUUGCUAAAUUACCCUUGAUCCACGUAAAGAUAAUAAGAUAUUUUAAGGGAUUAUGUGUAAACAUUUUGAAAACUAAUCUUUCCUUAUAAUUUUUAGAAAAAAUGAGGGACUACAACGUUAAUAACCAAACAAUUAAAUCCUGCCGUUGAAAAGGUUUUAGUUGAAUUUAAUGGUUGAUCAUAAAAAGACGGUACCGAAUCAUGAAUGCAUAGUAGCUGAACCCUAUAAGUAGGCUCAUUAGCUGAUUUGAUUGGCCAAUAGAUAAUGCGGUGAAUUCUGAUGCAAAUAUUGGAAUUGAAAUAAGUUGAGAGGUCAAUAUUGUGCUUUGGAACAUUUAGGUAUCAUUAUCAUUCCUUGGAACACUAAAAUUUCUUGGGGCUACAGCCAGAUACUUUUUAAGAUGGAAAAUUUAGAAAAAUAAAAGAUUAAAACAAACUCUAAAAUGCUGUAAUGAUAGUUAUACAGCUUGUUUAAAAAAUUACGACAAAAAUGUAUAUUUUAAAACGAAAACUUGAUUGGACAAGGAGGGCAGCAGAGUGAUCAUGCACCCAAUGACAGAUAAAAAUUGGGGUACACGAAAAGUCCAGAAGAAAUAAUAAAACUAAACCAUUUGCAUUCAUUUCUUGUUGAAACUGAGAACAUCAAUGGCUUUUAACAAGAGACCUCAACCCAAUGCGUCUCAUUUCUUCAAGAUUAUACUUCCCUAUUCCAUUGAAGAAAAGAAGCUGGUAAUUAAUUCUUAUCAUUUCUCUGCAGAUAUUUUUAGUUAAUUUUAUCAGUUUUCAUAUGUUUCUUCCAUUGUUUGUAGGUUCAUUCAUAAGUUUCAUAUGUUGAACAGAGUCUUGCACCAUGCACGUUCUUUUAAAUAUUUCUUAUUUGAUCUGCUACACGAUUGAUUGUAAUAGCUAGACUUUUCAGAUUAAUUUAGCUCACGAAUUAUGAGGCAAAAAAUUGUCUUCUUCAAUUUUCAAAGUGGAGGAAGUGGGAUUCAUUAUGUGGGGUAUGAAUAACAGUGAAAUGAGUGAAUUUUUUUUUGCUUUAUUUGGCUUUACUUCACUACCAACCCCUUUUAAUUUGCAUAAUAUCAUUAUAAAAAAUCCUUGGUUCCCUUGUUUUCUAGUUUCUAUUAAUAACAUCUUUUGUAUUGAUGACAUUAAAUUCAGUUCCAUUGUUCUAUUGGUUCUUGGACUCAUCUUCUUGUUUCUAUGUCAUUCAUGUAUGCUCACUGAAUUUACCAUAUGCAAUAUCACGAUGAAAGCAUUUUAAAAUGAUAUUGCUGAUUUGAUUGUUUUAGCUGGACUUUUAAAAUUACUUUGCAUGCGGGAGAUUGAAUUGAACCUAAAUGGCAUCUUGUUUGCUGAUAUGAUACUGCUGAUUGCUUGUUUCUGUAUUUCUUUUAUUUUUUUUUCCUUCAUAUUAUUAUUAAUACAUGCACUUGUUGAAGUUCAAACUAGGAACUUGAGUCCUGAAAGGCUAUUCUUUAUUCCUUAUCAUUGGAGCUAGACUUUGGCUUCAAAUUGUUUUUAUAUUGUUGAUCUAAUGUUACUUGUAUAAAUGUAGAGGAUUCCAAAAAACUUUGUGAAAAGGUUCGGACAUGAACUUUAUAAUGCUGCUAAUGGGACAAGUAAUAUUUGGUUUCACCAUGGUUGGUAUAUGACUUCAUCAAAUCUUAUUCAAUCUCUGCCUGAUACUUUGGGGUCUUCAAUUACGUGAAGAGCACAACUUUUCAUGCUCUUAUACUUGAUGUGACCGCUUGCGAGAUUAAUUAUCCAUAUGAGAGUGAUGAAUCUAAAAAUGAAGAGUUGGUGGUGGAGAGAAAUGAAUCAGAUGAUGAUUGAUGAAUUUGACUUGUGGGCUUCACUUGAAGAAAUGGGAAUGUGUAUUGCAAGAAAAGAAGGAACUCUUGCCAGAUCAUUGAGGCCAAGAUAUCCUUCAUUCAUGGUUAUCUUGCAAUCAAGUGACAUUACUCAUGAUGCUGUGGUGAGCUGCUUGUUGUUAUUGUUUUUUUUUCCCCCCAAUUAAAUGUGAUAACAAAUAUUAAUUACUUUUGACACGCAUUCGUUUUCUUAAUUAGUUGCAUUUUUUUUUUCAUUUUAUUUUAUUUGUCCGGUAUGUUCCAGGAGAAAUCCCUAACGAAUUUUUGAGUAGGGAUGUCAAAUCCAUCAAAAUUGAAGUUGAUAAAAAAGGAGAGCGAACUCUGUUAAUCAAUUGGUCAUGUUUGGGAGUUAAGAUUAAGCAUGUGAUUGGAUUAACUUUGGGAUUAAAUAUUUUAUCCCAUGUUUGGGUAUUUGCUUGGAUUGAAUUAGGGAGGACUAAAUUUAAAUUUAGUCCUUAAAUCAUGGGAUUAACAAUCCCAAUUUAUAAGUGGGUUUAGAUGGGAUUAGGAUAAGAGAAAAAGAUUUACUCAUAUUUCUUUCAUAAAUAACACUAUUUUUUACUUGUAACCUAAAAUUUAUUUAAUUAAUUAAUUAUUUUAUUCAUGAUUCACUUGAAUUUAUUUUUUAUUUUAUUUUUAUAGUCUAAUUAAAUUGGUACUUUUACUCCAAUAAAAUUAACUAUUUAAUAAUUCGUUAUAAUAAUUGAUUGUAUUAAAUUUAAUAAUCACCAAUGUAAUAUUAAAAAUAAUCAUGAAAA